This is a long non-coding RNA of Myxocyprinus asiaticus (Chinese sucker), 360 nucleotides long. RefSeq lists it as uncharacterized. The record is from RefSeq and is a predicted model, not a curated record. The transcript has 3 exons. Lineage: Eukaryota; Metazoa; Chordata; Actinopteri; Cypriniformes; Catostomidae.
CGUCAAUGGGAGCGCCGCGUUAUGCUAUUUUAAGCUAAGCUUGUAGACUACCCUUUAGAAUGGCUCCGGUAUAGCAACGCUCAAUGGCGCAUGCAAAAGCAUUCAGCAGUCAUCAGACCGGAGCGCAUGUUUAUACUUUUCUGGCGAAAGGGAUCGCAUCGUUUAGCGUUUCCCUGAGGAAUCAACAUCAACUUUCACAGUCUUCUGAAGAUCAGAAUCAAUAUCAGCUUCCCUGUAAAGAGUCUCCCAGUGAGACACAACUCUGAAGUCCAUUUUUCAAUUAGUUUAAUGUAUUUUGCUUUGGAUCUCAUAUGAUCUAUAUGUAGUAAUGCUGUCCAGGUUUCUUCUUUAAAUUCCGGU